Molecule: ribosomal RNA, 1772 nt
Filed under: Heterodera schachtii
Lineage: Eukaryota; Metazoa; Nematoda; Chromadorea; Rhabditida; Heteroderidae
Description: SSU rRNA
Rfam family: Eukaryotic small subunit ribosomal RNA
Source: RNAcentral
UGCUUGUUCUCAAAGAUUAAGCCAUGCAUGUGUAAGUUUAACCUGCCAGACAGGGAAACUGCGUACGGCUCAUUACACCAGCUAUAAUUUACUUGACCUUGACUUCUUACUUGGAUAACUGUGGUAAUUCUAGAGCUAAUACAUGCACCAAAGCUCCAAUCUCCCCAGAGCGGAGCGCAUUUGUUCGCCACAAAACCAAGCGCCCUCCGGGCGUCCAGUGUUGACUCAGAACAACUAAGCUGAUCGCACGGUCUUGUACCGGCGACGUGUCUUUCAAGUGUCUGCCUUAUCAACUUUCGAUGGUAGUGUAUCUGACUACCAUGGUGAUGACGGGUAACGGAGGAUAAGGGUUCGACUCCGGAGAAGGGGCCUGAGAAAUGGCCACUACGUCUAAGGAUGGCAGCAGGCGCGCAAAUUACCCACUCUCAACGCGAGGAGGUAGUGACGAGAAAUAACGAGACCGAUCUCUUAUGAGGCCGGUCAUCGGAAUGGGUACAAUUUAAACCCUUUAACGAGUAUCUAUGAGAGGGCAAGUCUGGUGCCAGCAGCCGCGGUAAUUCCAGCUCUCAAAAUGCAUAGAAUUAUUGCUGCGGUUAAAAAGCUCGUAGUUGGAUCUGUGCUAGCCGUCCGGUGCACACUUUGUGUGUUACUGGUUCGGUUGGCUUUUCUGCCGGUCUCUCCCCGGCGUUGGCCUUUACCGGUCGGCGUCGGUGGGCUGGCGAGUUUACUUUGAACAAAUCAGAGUGCUUCAAACAGGCGUUUCGCUUGAAUGUUCGUGCAUGGAAUAAUAGAAGAGGAUUUCGGUCCGAUUUUAUUGGUUUUGCUGACCGAGAUAAUGGUUAACAGAGACAAACGGGGCCAUUCGUAUUGCUACGUGAGAGGUGAAAUUCUUGGACCGUAGCAAGACGGACUACAGCGAAAGCAUUUGGCAAGAAUGUCUUCAUUAAUCAAGAACGAAAGUCAGAGGUUCGAAGGCGAUCAGAUACCGCCCUAGUUCUGACCGUAAACGAUGCCAACUAGCGAUCCGCCGGCGGAUUUAUUCGCCCUGGUGGGGAGCUUCCCGGAAACGAAAGUCUUCCGGUUCCGGGGGAAGUAUGGUUGCAAAGCUGAAACUUAAAGGAAUUGACGGAAGGGCACCACCAGGAGUGGAGCCUGCGGCUUAAUUUGACUCAACACGGGGAAACUCACCCGGCCCGGACACCGUAAGGAUUGACAGAUUGAUAGCUUUUUCAUGAUUCGGUGGAUGGUGGUGCAUGGCCGUUCUUAGUUCGUGGAGCGAUUUGUCUGGUUUAUUCCGAUAACGAGCGAGACUCUAGCCUACUAAAUAGUUGGCUCAUUGCUUCUGUGGGCACAACUUCUUAGAGGGAUUUUCGGUGUUCAGCCGCACGAAAUUGAGCAAUAACAGGUCUGUGAUGCCCUUAGAUGUCCGGGGCUGCACGCGCGCUACACUGGCAAAAUCAGCGUGCUUGUCCUUCCCCGAAAGGGGUUGGUAAACCGGUGAAAAUUUGCCGUGAUUGGGAUCGGACAUUGCAAUUAUUGUCCGUGAACGAGGAAUUCCUUGUAGGGGCGAGUCAUCAACUCGCUCUGAAUACGUCCCUGCCCUUUGUACACACCGCCCGUCGCUGCCCGGGACUGAGCCAUUUCGAGAAAUUCGGGGACGGUUAGUGUUCCGGCUUCGGUCGGUAUGCAGACUGGAACCGAUUUAAUCGCAGUGGCUUGAACCGGGCAAAAGUCGUAACAAGGUAGCUGUAGGUGAACCUGCAGCUGGAUCA